Molecule: ribosomal RNA, 407 nt
Filed under: uncultured bacterium
Lineage: Bacteria
Description: partial 16S ribosomal RNA
Rfam family: Bacterial small subunit ribosomal RNA
Source: RNAcentral
AUUGAACGCUGGCGGCAGGCCUAACACAUGCAAGUCGAGCGGAGCGGCGGACGGGUGAGUAAUACCUAGGAAUCUGCCUGGUAGUGGUGGAUAACGUUCGGCAACGGACGCUAAUACCGCAUACUAUCAGAUGAGCCUAGGUCGGAUUGGCUGGUUGGUGAGGAAAUGGCUCACCACGGCUACGAUCCGUAACUGGUCUGAGAGGAUGAUCAGUCACGUUGGAACGGAGACACGGUCCAGACUCCUACGGGAGGCAGCAGUGGGGAAUAUUGGACAAUGGGCGAAAGCCUGAUCCAGCCAUGCCGCGUGUGUGAAGAAGGUCUUCGAAUUGUAAAGCACGUUAAGUUGGGAGGCGUUACCGACAGAAUAAGCACCGGCUAACUCUGUGCCAGCAGCCGCGGUAAUAC